GCGGAGGAAAAGAAACUAACAAGGAUUCCCCUAGUAACUGCGAGUGAAGCGGGAAAAGCUCAAAUUUAAAAUCUGGCGGUCUCAGGCUGUCCGAAUUGUAAUCUAGAGAAGUGUUAUCCGCGCUGGACCGUGUACAAGUCUCCUGGAAUGGAGCGUCAUAGAGGGUGAGAAUCCCGUCUUUGACACGGACUCCCAGGGCUUUGUGAUGCGCUCUCAAAGAGUCGAGUUGUUUGGGAAUGCAGCUCAAAAUGGGUGGUAAAUUCCAUCUAAAGCUAAAUAUUGGCGAGAGACCGAUAGCGAACAAGUACCGUGAGGGAAAGAUGAAAAGAACUUUGGAAAGAGAGUUAAACAGUACGUGAAAUUGCUGAAAGGGAAACGCUUGAAGUCAGUCGCGUUGUCCAGAAAUCAACCUUGUUUUACUGGGUGACUUUCUGGUUAACGGGUCAACAUCAAUUUUGAUUGUUGGAAAAAGAUUAAANGAAUGUGGCAUCUUUGGAUGUGUUAUAGCCUUUGGUUGGAUACAACAAUUGGGAUUGAGGAUCUCAGCACGCCGCAAGGCCGGGUUUUUACCACGAUCGUGCUUAGGAUGUUGGCAUAAUGGCUUUAAUCGACCCGUCUUGAAACACGGACCAAGGAGUCUAACAUGCCUGCGAGUG
This 656-nucleotide ribosomal RNA is filed under the name Cystoderma chocoanum. Its description in RNAcentral is "LSU rRNA". It matches the Rfam family "Eukaryotic large subunit ribosomal RNA", at positions 50 to 692 of the family's 3401-position model. The record is from RNAcentral. Lineage: Eukaryota; Fungi; Basidiomycota; Agaricomycetes; Agaricales; Squamanitaceae.